Molecule: ribosomal RNA, 492 nt
Filed under: Hysterangium youngii
Lineage: Eukaryota; Fungi; Basidiomycota; Agaricomycetes; Hysterangiales; Hysterangiaceae
Description: eukaryotic LSU rRNA
Rfam family: Eukaryotic large subunit ribosomal RNA
Source: RNAcentral
CGGCGAGUGAAGCGGGAAGAGCUCAAAUUUGUAAUCUGACGGUUUCCAGCCGUCCGAGUUGUAGUCUGGAGAAGCGUCUUCCGUGCCGGACCGUGUACAAGUCCCUUGGAACAGGGCGUCGUAGAGGGUGAGAAUCCCGUCUCUGACACGGACUACCGGUGCUCUGUGAUGCGCUCUCGAAGAGUCGAGUUGUUUGGGAAUGCAGCUCAAAAUGGGUGGUAAAUUCCAUCUAAAGCUAAAUAUUGGCGAAAGACCGAUAGCGAACAAGUACCGUGAGGGAAAGAUGAAAAGCACUUUGGAAAGAGAGUUAAACAGUACGUGAAAUUGUUGAAAGGGAAACGCUUGAAGUCAGUCGCGUCUUCCGAGACUCAGCCGGGUCAUCGACUCGGUGUACUUCUCGGUAUUGACGGGUCAGCAUCGAUUUCGACCUUCGGAGAAAGGCUCUGGGAAUGUGGCACCUUUCGGGGUGUGUUAUAGCCCUCUGUCGUAUGC